CUGCAGCCCGAGUGGUGAUCGAUUUUAUUGAGCCUAAAGCGUCCGUAGCCGGACUAGUAAACCCUUGGGUAAAUUGGGCAGCUUAACUGUCCGAAUUCCGAGGGGACUGCUAGUCUUGGGACCGGGAGAGGUCAGAGGUACUCAAGGGGUAGGGGCUAAAUCCUGUAAUCCUUUGGGGACCACCAGUGGCGAAGGCGUCUGACUAGAACGGAUCCGACGGUGAGGGACGAAGCCCUGGGGCACAAACCGGAUUAGAUACCCGAGUAGUCC
RNAcentral lists this ribosomal RNA (270 nucleotides) under uncultured archaeon. Its description in RNAcentral is "partial 16S ribosomal RNA". It matches the Rfam family "Archaeal small subunit ribosomal RNA", at positions 477 to 747 of the family's 1478-position model. The record is from RNAcentral.